GAAGUCAGCCAGACCGCCGCUGGUGCAAGGCCCGAAAGGGCGCACUGGAGGAAGGUCCGGACUGCACAGGGCAGCGUAGGAGGUAACACCUCUCCACCGCGAGGUGAGGAUCAGAGCAACAGAGACGAGUCUCUGCGGCCUUGGGCGGGGCGCAAGCCACGCCAAAGGCCAUUCGAAAGAAUGGCCGGGGUCGCAGAGGGUGAAACGGGCAAUCUCUACGCGCAGCAACACCAAAUAGGCACACGUUGACCUGGCCCGGGGAGUGUGCGGGUAGGUGGCAUCGAGCCGUUCUGGCGACAGGCGGCCCAGAGGAAUGGCGGUCACGGUUCCAAGUCGCAAGACAAGGGGCCGCACAGAAUCCGGCCUAUCGGCUGACUUCACAC
Molecule: RNase P RNA, 383 nt
Filed under: Aquabacterium sp.
Lineage: Bacteria; Pseudomonadati; Pseudomonadota; Betaproteobacteria; Burkholderiales; Sphaerotilaceae
Description: RNase P RNA component class A
Rfam family: Bacterial RNase P class A
About the family: Ribonuclease P (RNase P) is a ubiquitous endoribonuclease, found in archaea, bacteria and eukarya as well as chloroplasts and mitochondria. Its best characterised activity is the generation of mature 5'-ends of tRNAs by cleaving the 5'-leader elements of precursor-tRNAs.
Source: RNAcentral